Molecule: ribosomal RNA, 497 nt
Filed under: uncultured bacterium
Lineage: Bacteria
Description: partial 16S ribosomal RNA
Rfam family: Bacterial small subunit ribosomal RNA
Source: RNAcentral
GAUGAACGCUGGCGGCGUGCCUAAUACAUGCAAGUAGAACGCUGAAGCUUGGUGCUUGCACCGAGCGGAUGAGUUGCGAACGGGUGAGUAACGCGUAGGUAACCUGCCUGGUAGCGGGGGAUAACUAUUGGAAACGAUAGCUAAUACCGCAUAACAGUAGAUAUUGCAUGAUAUCUGCUUGAAAGGUGCAAAUGCCUCACUACCAGCUGGACCUGCGUUGUAUUAGCUAGUUGGUGAGGUAACGGCUCACCAAGGCGACGAUACAUAGCCGACCUGAGAGGGUGAUCGGCCACACUGGGACGGAGACACGGCCCAGACUCCUACGGGAGGCAGCAGUAGGGAAUCUUCGGCAAUGGGGGGAACCCUGACCGAGAAACGCCGCGUGAGUGAAGAAGGUUUUCGGAUCGUAAAGCUCUGUUGUAAGAGAAGAACGAGUGUGAGAGUGGAAAGUUCACACUGUGACGGUAUCUUACCAGAAAGAGACGGCUAACUACGUG